This 84-nucleotide transfer RNA is filed under the name Echinostoma caproni. It matches the Rfam family "tRNA". Rfam says of the family: Transfer RNA (tRNA) molecules are approximately 80 nucleotides in length. Their secondary structure includes four short double-helical elements and three loops (D, anti-codon, and T loops). Lineage: Eukaryota; Metazoa; Platyhelminthes; Trematoda; Plagiorchiida; Echinostomatidae. The record is from Rfam by way of RNAcentral.
AGCCUCUAAGCUCAGCUGGCAGAGCGUGCGCUGUGCAAAAGCGUGGGCGGCUUCCAUGCGUGGGUUCGAAUCCCACCGAGGCUA